This 187-nucleotide ribosomal RNA is filed under the name uncultured bacterium. RNAcentral describes it as "partial 16S ribosomal RNA". It matches the Rfam family "Bacterial small subunit ribosomal RNA", at positions 1314 to 1500 of the family's 1533-position model. The record is from RNAcentral.
GCCUGUAUGAAGUUGGAAUCGCUAGUAAUCGCGGAUCAGCAUGCCGCGGUGAAUACGUUCCCGGGCCUUGUACACACCGCCCGUCACACCAUGAGAGUCGGGAACACCCGAAGUCCGUAGCCUAACCGCAAGGAGGGCGCGGCCGAAGGUGGGUUCGAUAAUUGGGGUGAAGUCGUAACAAGGUAAC